UAAAAGUGUCCAGGGAUGGGAAUCGAACCCACAGUGUUCCGCUUACCGGGCAGAUGCCAUGUCCACUAGGCUUGAUUUU
RNAcentral lists this transfer RNA (79 nucleotides) under Cordylochernes scorpioides. RNAcentral describes it as "tRNA-Thr". The record is from RNAcentral. Lineage: Eukaryota; Metazoa; Arthropoda; Arachnida; Pseudoscorpiones; Chernetidae.